RNAcentral lists this ribosomal RNA (330 nucleotides) under uncultured eukaryote. RNAcentral describes it as "partial 18S ribosomal RNA". It matches the Rfam family "Eukaryotic small subunit ribosomal RNA", at positions 1470 to 1796 of the family's 1831-position model. The record is from RNAcentral.
CCCUUAGAUGUUCUGGGCUGCACGCGCGCUACACUGAAGCGUUCAACGAGUAUUUCACCUUGCCCGGGAGGGUUGGGUAAUCUUUUUAAAACGCUUCGUGAUGGGGAUAGAUUAUUGCAAUUAUUAAUCUUCAACGAGGAAUUCCUAGUAAGCGCGAGUCAUCAGCUCGCGUUGAUUACGUCCCUGCCCUUUGUACACACCGCCCGUCGCUACUACCGAUUGGAUGGUUUAGUGAGAUCCUCGGAUUGGUCCCGGAGCGGCCUCUGGUCGUGCCGGAGUGCCGAAAAGAAUGUCGAACUUGAUCAUCUAGAGGAAGUAAAAGUCGUAACA